RNAcentral lists this transfer RNA (84 nucleotides) under Salipiger marinus. RNAcentral describes it as "tRNA-Leu". It matches the Rfam family "tRNA". From Rfam's summary of the family: Transfer RNA (tRNA) molecules are approximately 80 nucleotides in length. Their secondary structure includes four short double-helical elements and three loops (D, anti-codon, and T loops). Further hydrogen bonds mediate the characteristic L-shaped molecular structure. tRNAs have two regions of fundamental functional importance: the anti-codon, which is responsible for specific mRNA codon recognition, and the 3' end, to which the tRNAs corresponding amino acid is attached (by aminoacyl-tRNA synthetases). tRNAs cope with the degeneracy of the genetic code in two manners: having more than one tRNA (with a specific anti-codon) for a particular amino acid; and 'wobble' base-pairing, i.e. permitting non-standard base-pairing at the 3rd anti-codon position. RNAcentral also lists the same sequence under 1 other name. Lineage: Bacteria; Pseudomonadati; Pseudomonadota; Alphaproteobacteria; Rhodobacterales; Roseobacteraceae. The record is from RNAcentral.
GCCCGCGUGGUGGAAAGGUAGACACAGGGGACUUAAACUCCCCAGACUUCGGUCGUGCCGGUUCGAUCCCGGCCGCGGGCACCA